Molecule: ribosomal RNA, 497 nt
Filed under: uncultured bacterium
Lineage: Bacteria
Description: partial 16S ribosomal RNA
Rfam family: Bacterial small subunit ribosomal RNA
Source: RNAcentral
GACGAACGCUGGCGGCGUGCCUAAUACAUGCAAGUAGAACGCUGAAGAGAGGAGCUUGCUCUUCUUGGGUGAGUUGCGAACGGGUGAGUAACGCGUAGGUAACCUGCCUUUUAGCGGGGGAUAACUAUUGGAAACGAUAGCUAAUACCGCAUAACAAUGGGUGACACAUGUCAUUUAAGUGAAAGAGGCAAUUGCUCUACUACAAGGAGGACCUCCGGUGUCUUAGGUAGUAGGUGAAGUAAAGGGCCACCUAAGCGAAGAAACAUAGCCGAACCGAGAGGGUGGUCGGCCAACCUGGGAAUGAGAAACGGCCCAGACUCCUUCGGGAGGCAGCAGUAGGGAAUCUUCGGCAAUGGGGGCAACCCUGACCGAGCAACGCCGCGUGAGUGAAGAAGGUUUUCGGAUCGUAAAGCUCUGUUGUAAGUCAAGAACGGGUGUGAGAGUGGAAAGUUCACACUGUGACGGUAGCUUACCAGAAAGCGACGGCUAACUACGUG